This is a small nucleolar RNA of Clarias gariepinus (North African catfish), 133 nucleotides long. RefSeq annotates it as small nucleolar RNA SNORA68. NCBI's taxonomy places the organism in Eukaryota, Metazoa, Chordata, Actinopteri, Siluriformes, Clariidae. The transcript has a single exon. The record is from RefSeq and is a predicted model, not a curated record.
GCAGCACACAAACCCAAAGAUCAUUGUUUCUAUAUAUAUAUGAUGCUCUUGCUAUGUGUGCGCAAAGAAACAGGACCUUGUCGCCUUUCAUGAGUUCUUGUGUCAUUGGAAGUGAAUUCAAGGUUCAACAUCA